RNAcentral lists this RNase P RNA (394 nucleotides) under Bacteroidota bacterium. RNAcentral's name for it is "Bacteroidetes bacterium (activated sludge metagenome) RNase P RNA component class A". It matches the Rfam family "Bacterial RNase P class A". Rfam says of the family: Ribonuclease P (RNase P) is a ubiquitous endoribonuclease, found in archaea, bacteria and eukarya as well as chloroplasts and mitochondria. Its best characterised activity is the generation of mature 5'-ends of tRNAs by cleaving the 5'-leader elements of precursor-tRNAs. The record is from RNAcentral. Lineage: Bacteria; Pseudomonadati; Bacteroidota.
GCAGCAGGUCGUUCCAUCGUUCCCUUCUGAGCGAAGUCGAAGAGGGGUAAGGAAAGUCCGGGCAACAAAGAGCACCAUGCUUCCUAACGGGAAGAUAUCCGCGAGGGUAUAGUAUUGUAACAGAAAAUAACCGCCCCUUCGGCUACGCUCAGGGGGCAAGGGUGAAAAGGUGAGGUAAGAGCUUACCGGUCUGGGUGGUGACAUCCGGAGCCGUACUCCUGAUGGGUUGAAAGACCAUGUAUACCGGCUUAUAAGGGCUGCUCGUCCGAUGCCGGGGGGUAGGUCGUAAGAUCAUUGCAGCAAUGCAGUGGGCAGAUAAAUGAUGGAAACUGUUUUAAAUUCUUUUACAGAAGACAAAUCAGCACAGAACCCGGCUUACAGACCAGCUGCAAAA